UAUGCUGUUAGCUUGACUAGAGUGCUGUUCCAGACAAGUUUUCUUUUGACCUUUAUUUUGCAAGUCAUGGAAGCUAUGCACAAAAAGAUUAGAAUAUGUUGCGAUUUGCAAGUCAUGGAAGCUAUGCACAAAAAGAUUAGAAUAUGUUGCGAUUUGCAAGUCAUGGAAGCUAUGCACAAAAAGAUUAGAAUAUGUUGUGAUUAACUUACAGGAGAAUGUGUCACAAGCGAUUAGGACACUUGAAGGAAGUUGAUUUAGGCCAGCCCCUUGAAAUUUCUUUUUCUUCAUUUUUUUGGCUUCCUCCCCCUCCUUAUUCUAUCAUUUUUUUUUUUUGAAAUUUCCUUUUUAUGAAGUGCAGUGUAGAUAUCCUCACCACAGUCCUAGAAAGAGAAAGGAGAAAUCCUCAAAAAAGAAAGAGAGAGAGAGAGA
This 429-nucleotide unclassified non-coding RNA is filed under the name Hevea brasiliensis (rubber tree). Lineage: Eukaryota; Viridiplantae; Streptophyta; Magnoliopsida; Malpighiales; Euphorbiaceae. The record is from RNAcentral.